This 370-nucleotide unclassified non-coding RNA is filed under the name uncultured Weeksellaceae bacterium. RNAcentral describes it as "contains 16S-23S intergenic spacer region". The record is from RNAcentral. Lineage: Bacteria; Pseudomonadati; Bacteroidota; Flavobacteriia; Flavobacteriales; Weeksellaceae.
UCUCUACUUGCGUAGGCAGUCUCACUAGAGUCCCCAACUGAAUGAUGGCAACUAGUGACAGGGGUUGCGCUCGUUGCAGGACUUAACCUAACACCUCACGGCACGAGCUGACGACAACCAUGCAGCACCUUGGAAAUUGCCCGAAGGAGGGUCUAUUUCUAGACCUGUCAAUUCCCAUUUAAGUCUUGGUAAGGUUCCUCGCGUAUCAUCGAAUUAAACCACAUAAUCCACCGCUUGUGCGGGCCCCCGUCAAUUCCUUUGAGUUUCAUCCUUGCGGACGUACUCCCCAGGUGGCUAACUUAUCACUUUCGCUUGGUCUCUGAAUCCGAAAGUCCAAAAACGAGUUAGCAUCGUUUACGGCGUGGACUAC